GACGAACGCUGGCGGCGUGCUUAACACAUGCAAGUCGAACGAAGAGCGAUGGAAGCUUGCUUCUAUCAAUCUUAGUGGCGAACGGGUGAGUAACGCGUAAUCAACCUGCCCUUCAGAGGGGGACAACAGUUGGAAACGACUGCUAAUACCGCAUACGAUCCAAUCUCGGCACCGAGGAUGGAUGAAAGGUGGCCUCUAUUUAUAAGCUAUCACUGAAGGAGGGGAUUGCGUCUGAUUAGCUAGUUGGAGGGGUAACGGCCCACCAAGGCGAUGAUCAGUAGCCGGUCUGAGAGGAUGAACGGCCACAUUGGGACUGAGACACGGCCCAGACUCCUACGGGAGGCAGCAGUGGGGAAUCUUCCGCAAUGGACGAAAGUCUGACGGAGCAACGCCGCGUGAGUGAUGACGGCCUUCGGGUUGUAAAGCUCUGUUAAUCGGGACGAAAGGCCUUCUUGCGAAUAGUUAGAAGGAUUGACG
RNAcentral lists this ribosomal RNA (477 nucleotides) under Veillonella dispar. Its description in RNAcentral is "bacterial SSU rRNA". It matches the Rfam family "Bacterial small subunit ribosomal RNA", at positions 28 to 474 of the family's 1533-position model. The record is from RNAcentral. Lineage: Bacteria; Bacillati; Bacillota; Negativicutes; Veillonellales; Veillonellaceae.